RNAcentral lists this microRNA precursor (99 nucleotides) under Cavia aperea (Brazilian guinea pig). RNAcentral describes it as "miRNA (ENSCAPG00000004606.1)". It matches the Rfam family "mir-670 microRNA precursor family". Lineage: Eukaryota; Metazoa; Chordata; Mammalia; Rodentia; Caviidae. The record is from RNAcentral.
GUUUUAGGGGUGGAUCUGGCGUCCCUGAGUGUAUGUGGUGAACCUGAAUUUGCCUUGGGUUUCCUCAUACUCAUUCAGGAGUGUCAGUCGCCCCUGCAC